UGCUCCUAGCCUCUUCUUCCUCUCCUGCUCCUAUCCUCCCAUUCCUCCUCUCAAUUACUGUAAAUGUGUUGUUGUGUGUCAUAAUUUCUGAGUGUGUCUGUGUGUGUGUUUAUUGAUACUGUGCCUGUGUUUUGGUGUUGUGUAGAGGCUCUGCUAUAGCGAACAGCCUGUCUCAGAUCACCAUCAGUCUGCUCCUCUACUUAUAUAUCUGUUGGAGAGGCCUCCACAAGAACACCUGGGCAGGCUGGUCCAGUGAGGCCCUCCAGGAGUGGGGUUCCUACAUGCAACUGGCCAUCCCCAGUACCCUGAUGGUCUGCUUCGAGUGGUGGGUCUGGGAGAUAGGAGGCUUCCUCGCUGGUAUGCUAGGAGAGGUGGAUCUAGCAGCACAGCAUGUGCUGUUGGAGAUAGGAGCCAUUACCUACAUG
Molecule: long non-coding RNA, 425 nt
Organism: Oncorhynchus masou masou (cherry salmon)
Lineage: Eukaryota; Metazoa; Chordata; Actinopteri; Salmoniformes; Salmonidae
Exons: 3
Source: RefSeq, a predicted model, not a curated record